This 253-nucleotide ribosomal RNA is filed under the name uncultured bacterium. RNAcentral's name for it is "partial 16S ribosomal RNA". It matches the Rfam family "Bacterial small subunit ribosomal RNA", at positions 524 to 776 of the family's 1533-position model. The record is from RNAcentral.
UACGGGGGGGGCAAGCGUUGUUCGGAAUUACUGGGCGUAAAGGGCUCGUAGGCGGCCUUCUAAGUCGAACGUGAAAUCCCUGGGCUCAACCCAGGAACUGCGUCCGAUACUGGAAGGCUUGAGUACCAAAGAGGAUCGCGGAAUUCCCGGUGUAGAGGUGAAAUUCGUAGAUAUCGGGAGGAACACCAGUGGCGAAGGCGGCGAUCUGGGUGGAUACUGACGCUGAGGUGCGAAAGCGUGGGGAGCAAACAGG